Molecule: ribosomal RNA, 253 nt
Filed under: uncultured bacterium
Lineage: Bacteria
Description: partial 16S ribosomal RNA
Rfam family: Bacterial small subunit ribosomal RNA
Source: RNAcentral
CACGUAGGGGACGAGCGUUGUCCGGAUUCAUUGGGCGUAAAGCGCGCGUAGGCGGCUCGGUAAGUCGGUCGUGAAAUGCCGGGGCUCAACCCCGGGACUGCGUCCGAUACUUCCGGGCUGGAGGUAGGUAGGGGAGAUCGGAAUUCCUGGUGUAGCGGUGAAAUGCGCAGAUAUCAGGAGGAACACCGGUGGCGAAGGCGGAUCUCUGGGCCAUUACUGACGCUGAGGAGCGAAAGCGUGGGUAGCAAACAGG